UGAUCAUCUCAAAGUCAUUUUGUAUGAUUUUGGAAAGUUGGGCUCUUUUUGUUGUGAGAAACACAACUGGCCUGAAACAUAUGUGUCAAAUACAUGCAAGAAAACGUGUGGAGGCUUUGUUGUCCAGACGAAAAGCUAAUUAGUUGACUGUGGUCAAAUUUGCUGACUAGUCUUCAACAACGGAGCAAGUCUGCAUUCACC
This 201-nucleotide unclassified non-coding RNA is filed under the name uncultured Mucoromycota. Its description in RNAcentral is "sequence contains ITS2". The record is from RNAcentral. Lineage: Eukaryota; Fungi; Mucoromycota.